RNAcentral lists this transfer RNA (71 nucleotides) under Edaphobacter dinghuensis. It matches the Rfam family "tRNA". Rfam says of the family: Transfer RNA (tRNA) molecules are approximately 80 nucleotides in length. Their secondary structure includes four short double-helical elements and three loops (D, anti-codon, and T loops). The record is from Rfam by way of RNAcentral. Lineage: Bacteria; Pseudomonadati; Acidobacteriota; Terriglobia; Terriglobales; Acidobacteriaceae.
UGCCCCCUCGUUCAAUGGUAGGACUGCCGACUCUGACUCGGCCAAUCGGGGUUCGAAUCCCUGGGGGGCAA